Molecule: long non-coding RNA, 221 nt
Filed under: Urocitellus parryii (Arctic ground squirrel)
Lineage: Eukaryota; Metazoa; Chordata; Mammalia; Rodentia; Sciuridae
Description: lncRNA (ENSUPAG00010004862.1)
Source: RNAcentral
CCCCACGGCCUGGGGACACGUUCCCCCCUCCUGUUGUUCUGCAAAGCCACCGAGCUGGAACCAGGCAGGGACUCAGCCGCGGGAAGCCGUCCCCGCCGCGGGGCGGUGAUCGCCGGAGCCGAGCGGAAGCGUCUCACCCCGGCCACGAUCGCAAACGGAGGUGGGCAGCUCGGAGCACCCGGGAGAGCAGAUUAUCGGAGCCCUUUCAGAGAGCGCACAAC